GGGGAAUUUUCCGCAAUGGGCGAAAGCCUGACGGAGCAAUACCGCGUGAGGGAUGACGGCCUAUGGGUUGUAAACCUCUUUUUUCAGGGAGGAAUCAAAUGACGUGUACCUGAAGAAUAAGCAUCGGCUAACUCCGUGCCAGCAGCCGCGGUAAGACGGAGGAUGCAAGUGUUAUCCGGAAUCACUGGGCGUAAAGCGUCUGUAGGUGGUCAAAUAAGUCAACUGUUAAAUCUUGGGGCCCAACCUCAAAAUCGCAGUCGAAACUAUUAGACUAGAGUAUAGUAGGGGUAAAGGGAAUUUCCAGUGGAGCGGUGAAAUGCGUAGAGAUUGGAAAGAACACCGAUGGCGAAGGCACUUUACUGGGCUAU
This 368-nucleotide ribosomal RNA is filed under the name uncultured bacterium. RNAcentral describes it as "bacterial SSU rRNA". It matches the Rfam family "Bacterial small subunit ribosomal RNA", at positions 356 to 737 of the family's 1533-position model. The record is from RNAcentral.